UACGGAGGGGGCUAGCGUUGUUCGGAAUUACUGGGCGUAAAGCGCGCGUAGGCGGAUCUGCAAGUCGGGGGUGAAAUCCCGAGGCUCAACCUCGGAACUGCCUUCGAUACUGCGGGUCUCGAGUCCGGGAGAGGUGAGUGGAACUGCGAGUGUAGAGGUGAAAUUCGUAGAUAUUCGCAAGAACACCAGUGGCGAAGGCGGCUCACUGGCCCGGAACUGACGCUGAGACGCGAAAGCGUGGGGAGCAAACAGG
RNAcentral lists this ribosomal RNA (253 nucleotides) under uncultured bacterium. RNAcentral's name for it is "partial 16S ribosomal RNA". It matches the Rfam family "Bacterial small subunit ribosomal RNA", at positions 524 to 776 of the family's 1533-position model. The record is from RNAcentral.